Molecule: ribosomal RNA, 900 nt
Filed under: Pentaplacodinium lapazense
Lineage: Eukaryota; Dinophyceae; Gonyaulacales; Protoceratiaceae
Description: Pentaplacodinium sp. HGu-2022a partial large subunit ribosomal RNA
Rfam family: Eukaryotic large subunit ribosomal RNA
Source: RNAcentral
GAGAAACUAAACAGGAUUCCUUUAGUAAUGGCGAAUGAAGAAGGAUUAGCUCAACAUGAAAAUUGGGGCUUCUGGCCUUGAAUUGUAGUUUGAAGAUGCAUUUGCCAAUGGACAUGAUAAUGAAAGCCUUUUGGGAAAAAGCAUCAACGAGGGUGAGAAUCCUUCUUGACAUUUCAAUUGUCCAUGUACGGUGUGCAUUGAAGAUUCACGUUCCUUGGGAUUUGAACGCAAACUUGUUGGUAAAUUUCAUUUAAAGCUAAAUAUUGGUUUGAGACCGAUAGAAAACAAGUACCAUGAGGGAAAAGUGAAAAGGACUUUGAAAAGAAAGUUAAAAGUGCUUGAAAUUGCUGAAGAGGAAGCGGGUGUAUUUCAAACACAAUUUUCAAGAUUGUUGUGCAUAUCUGUGAUUUCUUGUUGUUUUGACUUCAUCGCAGCAACAAGACUGAUCUGUGACUGCACAAUGUUGCUUGUGUUUUGUGCCAUCAUCGAUUCACAGCUAAAGAAACAGCCUGAAAAUGACGAUUUGCUCUUGUGCAAAUGAAUGUUUGGGUGUAGAUUUAGCUUGUGGACCGUCUGUCUUCCUGUUGUGUUGAUACCUUGGUGUCCACAACAUGAAAAUGAUGGCCAAAGAAAUACAUUCGGCCCGUCUUGAAACACGGACCAAGGAGUUUAACACAUGUGCAAGUUUGGUGUGUGAUGCUUCUUUGCGCAAUGAAAAUGAUAUUUGGUAUAUUCUUGCACCAAUAACCAACCGCUCAAUCGUGAGAGGUUUGAGUAUGAGCAUAUUUGUUAAGACCCGAAAGAUGGUGAACUAUGCCUGGGAAGGGUAAAUUCAGGGGAAACUCUGAUGGAGGCUCGUAGCGAUACUGACGUGCAAAUCGUUCGUCAUACUUGGGUAUA